GGGGUUGUAGCUCAGUGGUAGAGCGUCUACCUAGCAUGCAUGAGGCACUGGGUUCAAUGCUCAGCACCACA
Molecule: transfer RNA, 71 nt
Filed under: Marmota monax (woodchuck)
Lineage: Eukaryota; Metazoa; Chordata; Mammalia; Rodentia; Sciuridae
Description: tRNA.Ala
Source: RNAcentral